This is a non-coding RNA of Camelina sativa (false flax), 1082 nucleotides long. NCBI's taxonomy places the organism in Eukaryota, Viridiplantae, Streptophyta, Magnoliopsida, Brassicales, Brassicaceae. The record is from RefSeq and is a predicted model, not a curated record.
GGCAUGUUUAUCAGGGGGUUGUAAGGGAGGUUUAUAGAUUUUAGGUGGGUUAAAUUUAAAUCAAAAGAAAAGGAAAUUAAGAAGAGACUCUCUUAUAUUACAACCCCAAAUCGUUCAUAAGAGACUGCAACAUGUCCAAUUUUCGUUGGUCAACUGAAAAAUAGAAAAGGGAAAAAAAAAAUUGUUUCUCUCUUUCUCUCUUUUUCUCCCGAUCAACUUCUCUCUUUCUCUCCCGUUCAAAGUUUCGAUCCGAGAAAGGAAGAUCUGCAGAUCAAAGUCUCUCUUUCUCCUGAUCAAAGUCUCGAUUUGAAUCGGUAGACAUCUUCUCGGAGGCGAGUGUAGCGGUGGCGAUUUGAAUCGUCGUGGAGAUUGUAGCGGUGGCGAUUUGAAAGAGUAGGCGAUUCCAUCGAAAGAGAAUGGAUGAAUUCGAUUGAGAGGGUUAAAUGGUGCUAGCAUGAUAUUGAUGGAUUGAUGAGAGUAGAAUGGUUGGAGCAGAUUUGGUUGAUCUUGUAUUCACUUUUGUAUUGAGGUUAAAUGGUGCUAGCAUGAUAUUGAUGGAUUAAUGGUGCUAGUUGGUUGUGAAGAUGUUUAAUGUGUGGUUGGAGCAGAUUUCAUUGAUCUUGUAUUCACUUUUCUAGCCUUACCACUUGGAUCUGUCUGGGACAUCUGUGGAGACAAUAAUAUCACUCUUGGUUGUAUUGGGAACGUGUUUAGAAGCUUCAAGGGUUUGAAUGAAGAAAAUGAUGAUUCCUCGUUGUCUGCCAAGUGUCUGCUUCCUUCGUAUUAUAGUUGCCCAAAAACAGUUGCUUGAUGUUGUCACUUUGCAAAGAGAAAUCUAUUAUUGUUACAGGUUCUGUCCCAGCCCGGGUGAACCCUUUGGCAGCAGUAGGUUAAGUUUCACUAGAGAGAUGCCUGCUUGUCUUACUCUUCAAACCCAAAACAUCCAAGGUUUUUAAUAUAAGAAGUUUUGGGUUUGUGAGGGGAUACGCAAGGUAUUUGGUAACUGAUGAUUUGGUCAUUAAACUGAAGGACUCGGUUUCGAACAUUAGUUUGCUGAAGUUGACCAUGCAUUUGGCGGAGGA